AGAACGCUUGUUUUUCCACGUUCACACUAAUUUGAAUCUUCGUGGAUUUUAAUAUUUUAUGUUACACCAAACACAUUGAAAAAUGCUCCAAGGUAGUCUGUGUUCUUGAAUGACUUUGAUGACCCAACACUCCAUUCACAAUCUUACUAAGUUAACUAAUUAACCUUUUUUAGUUCUCAUUGCUAUGCAAUCAUCCUCAUCUUCCUUUAGUUACAGAUUCAGCAAUGAAGUGUUCCUCAGCUUCCGAGGGGAAGAUACUCGUCACAGUUUUACCGGCAAUCUCUAUAAAGCUCUCUCUGAGAGAGGAAUUCACACCUUCAUCGAUGACAAGAAGCUCCCUAGAGGAGACCAAAUCAGCUCAGCACUUGAGAAGGCAAUUGAAGAGUCCAGAAUACUCAUCAUCGUGCUCUCUGAAAACUAUGCAUCGUCCUCCUUCUGCUUAAACGAACUUGGUUACAUCCUUAAGUUUAUUAAGGGGAAGGGCCUAUAGGUUUUGCCUGUUUUUUAUAAGGUUGAUCCUUCUGAUGUGAGAAACCAUGCAGGUAGUUUUGGAGAGUCAUUGGCUAAUCAUGAAAAGAAGUUCAACGCUGAUAAGGAGACUUUCAAGUGUAACCUGGUGAAGCUGGAGACAUGGAAGAUGGCUCUGCACCAAGUGGCUAACUUGUCUGGUUACCAUUUCAAACAUGGGGAAGAAUACGAAUAUAAGUUUAUUCAGAGGAUUGUUGAGUUGGUCUCUAAGAAAAUUAAUCGUGUUCCUUUACAUGUUGCGGAUUAUCCAGUUGGACUAGAGUCACGAAUGCAAGAAGUAAAAGCACUUCUGGAUGUUGGAUCUGAUGAUGUUGUCCACUUGCUGGGGAUACAUGGGCUGGGUGGAGUAGGUAAAACGACACUUGCUGCUGCAGUUUAUAAUUCCAUUGCUGACCAUUUUGAAGCUUUGUGUUUCCUUGAAAACGUGAGAGAAACUUCAAAAAAACAUGGGUUACAACAUCUCCAAAGCAACCUUCUUUCUGAAACAGUUGGAGAGCAUAAGUUAAUAAGUGUGAAACAAGGAAUUUCCAUAAUACAGCAUAGGCUUCAGCAACAAAAGAUUCUUUUGAUUCUAGAUGAUGUUGACAAAAGGGAGCAGCUACAGGCGCUUGCUGGAAGACCUGAUUUGUUUGGUCUUGGCAGUAGAGUCAUCAUCACGACUCGGGACAAACAAUUGCUAGCAUGUCACGGUGUUGAAUGAACAUAUGAGGUGAAUGAAUUGAAUGAGGAACAUGCUCUUGAAUUACUUAGUUGGAAAGCUUUCAAGUUGGAAAAAGUUGAACCAUUUUACAAGGAUGUUCUGAAUCGAGCAGCAACUUAUGCUUCGGGCCUUCCAUUAGCUUUAGAAGUAAUAGGUUCCAACUUAUAUGGAAGAAAUAUAGAACAAUGGAUAUCUGCUUUAGAUCGAUACAAAAGAAUCCCUAAUAAAGAGAUCCAAGAGAUACUUAAAGUGAGUUAUGAUGCUUUGGAAGAAGAUGAGCAAAGUGUUUUUCUUGACAUUGCUUGUUGCUUCAAAAAAUAUGGUUUGGUAGAGGUUGAAGAUAUACUUCAUGCUCAUCAUGGGCAUUGCAUGAAACAUCAUAUUGGAGUGUUGGUUGAAAAAUCUCUCAUAAAGAUUAGUUUUGAUGGUAACGUAACACUACAUGACUUGAUAGAGGACAUGGGUAAAGAAAUUGUCAGGCAAGAAUCAGUCAAAGAACCUAGGAAACGUAGCAGAUUAUGGUUUCCAAAGGAUAUAGUUCAAGUUUUAGAAGAAAAUAAGGGAACUAGUCAGAUUGAAAUCAUUUGUAUGGAUUUCCCCAUAUUUCAAGAAAUACAAAUAGAAUGGGAUGGGUAUGCCUUCAAGAAGAUGAAAAAACUCAAAACACUUAUUAUCAGAAAUGGUCAUUUCUCCAAAGGUCCCAAACAUCUUCCUAAUACAUUGAGAGUUUUGGAAUGGAAGAGAUAUCCUACACAAAAUUUUCCAUAUGAUUUUUAUCCGAAGAAACUUGCUAUAUGCAAGUUACCUUACAGCAGGUUUACAUCACAUGAGUUGGCUGUCUUAUUAAAAAAGAAAUUUGUAAAUUUGACAAGUUUAAAUUUUGACUACUGUCAAUAUUUAACACACAUACCAGAUGUAUUUUGUCUCCCACAUUUGGAAAAUUUUUCAUUUCAAUGGUGUCAAAAUUUAUCUGCAAUUCACUAUUCAGUUGGGUUCUUGGAAAAACUUAAAAUCUUAGACGGAGAAGGUUGCUCCAGACUUAAGAGUUUUCCCGCCAUGAAGUUGACCUCUCUUGAGCAAUUCAAACUUCGGUAUUGUCACAGUCUUGAGAGUUUUCCAGAAAUAUUAGGAAGGAUGGAAAAUAUAACAGAACUUGAUUUGAAAGAAACUCCUGUAAAAAAAUUUCCACUUUCAUUUGGAAACCUUACCCGGAUUCAAAAAUUACAACUGUCUUUGACCGGUGUUAAUGGAAUUCCCCUUUCCAGCCUUUGCAUGAUGCCAGAUCUGGUCUCUAUUAUAGGUUGGAGAUGGGAAUUGAGUCCAUUCCCUGAAGAUGAUGACGGUGCAGAAAAAGUGAGCUCAACCUUGUCUUCAAACAUUCAAUAUCUUCAGUUCAGAUGCUGCAACCUAACAGAUGAUUUUUUUCGAAUAGUUCUCCCAUGGUUUGCUAAUGUGAAGAACUUAGACCUACCAGGAAAUUCUUUUACAGUUAUUCCCGAAUGCAUCAAGGAAUGCCACUUUUUAACUAGGCUUAAUUUGAAUUAUUGUGAGUUUCUUCUAGAAAUUAGAGGGAUUCCUCCAAACUUGAAAUAUUUCUCUGCAAUAGAAUGUCAAUCUUUGACUUCUUCAUGUAGAAGCAAGUUACUGAAUCAGGAUCUGCAUGAGAGUGGUAGUCCCUUCUUUUAUUUGCCAGGAGCCAAUAUUCCAGAGUGGUUUGAGUUCCAAACAUCAGAAUUGCCAAUAUCUUUCUGGUUUCGUAACAAAUUGCCGGCCAUAGCUAUUUGUCUUGUUAUGGAACAGGUGUGUGUGUGUGAGUAUUCUUCCUCGUCAAAAGGUGACACAUUUAGACCCUUGAUGAUCCCUACUACAUUUAGACUCAUGUCACUCAUCGUGAUCAUCAAUGGCAAUGAACAUUUUUUGUUUGACAGUUGGGAAAUGGUCCGGAUGGAAAGUGAUUGCACAUGUCUUUUUGAUCUGCGGGAGACAAUACAACAAAAUAAUUUAAAUGAAACACUUUUGGAAAAUGAAUGGAACCAUGCAGUUAUUAAACGUCCAGAUCUUAAUUUUGGCCAAAAAUCUAUAAAAAACGGAAUCCACUUAUUGAAACAGGAAAGUAGCAUGGAGGAUAUUCGAUUCACUAAUCCUUUUAGAAAAAGAAAAUUGGUUGAUGAUCGAUUUCAAUAGUUCAGAAUCAUAAAACCAACGGUUUCUGAGAAAGUAAAGAUGAGUGGACUCAAUUUGUGCAGCACCAACAACUUAUGAUUUGAGUUUUUUAUAUGUCACACAUGAGGAACUGGGCAAAAUUGUUUGGCAUCUCUUCCUGCCCCAGCAGUCAACAAUACGAUAAUGAGCAAGACGAUUCGAGUUCAACUGGUGUUAAUGCAGAUAAAAGACAACUUGGUAACUAGUUUUAUUUUUCUAGUGCUUACUUGAAACUAAUUUAAGUUUUGCAGUCAAGUAUGUUAUAGAUAUGUAACUUGUCUUUGCUUUCAUUGAAAAUAGAUUGUUCCAAAUUUUACACUUAAGUCUCUUAAUACAAUUAUUGUCCCAUAUUUUACUUAAUUUGUAUUCCAAAUCUCUGGUUUUAUAUAGCAAUUUCAACUGUA
Glycine soja is the source of this 3834-nucleotide RNA transcript. It is a transcript of the gene named TMV resistance protein N-like, with no coding region annotated. NCBI's taxonomy places the organism in Eukaryota, Viridiplantae, Streptophyta, Magnoliopsida, Fabales, Fabaceae. The transcript has 6 exons. The record is from RefSeq and is a predicted model, not a curated record.